This 305-nucleotide ribosomal RNA is filed under the name uncultured bacterium. RNAcentral describes it as "bacterial SSU rRNA". It matches the Rfam family "Bacterial small subunit ribosomal RNA", at positions 334 to 637 of the family's 1533-position model. The record is from RNAcentral.
GGUACCUACGGGGCGCAGCAGUGAGGAAUAUUGGUCAAUGGGAGAGAUCCUGAACCAGCCAAGCCGCGUGAGGGAAGACGGCCCUAUGGGUUGUAAACCUCUUUUGUCGGAGAACAAAACCCGGGACGUGUCCCGGACUGCGUGUAUCCGAAGAAAAAGCAUCGGCUAACUCCGUGCCAGCAGCCGCGGUAAUACGGAGGAUGCGAGCGUUAUCCGGAUUUAUUGGGUUUAAAGGGUGCGUAGGCGGAUUGUCAAGUCAGCGGUAAAAUACGGGGGCUCAACCUCCGCCCGCCGUUGAAACUGAC